Molecule: ribosomal RNA, 253 nt
Filed under: uncultured bacterium
Lineage: Bacteria
Description: partial 16S ribosomal RNA
Rfam family: Bacterial small subunit ribosomal RNA
Source: RNAcentral
UACGAAGGGGGCUAGCGUUGUUCGGAAUCACUGGGCGUAAAGCGCACGUAGGUGGACUUUCAAGUCAGGGGUGAAAUCCCGGGGCUCAACCUCGGAACUGCCUUUGAUACUGUUGGUCUUGAGUCCGGAAGAGGUGAGUGGAAUUCCUAGUGUAGAGGUGAAAUUCGUAGAUAUUAGGAAGAACACCGGUGGCGAAGGCGGCUCACUGGUCCGGUACUGACACUGAGGUGCGAAAGCGUGGGGAGCAAACGGG